RNAcentral lists this ribosomal RNA (513 nucleotides) under uncultured bacterium. RNAcentral describes it as "bacterial SSU rRNA". It matches the Rfam family "Bacterial small subunit ribosomal RNA", at positions 8 to 521 of the family's 1533-position model. The record is from RNAcentral.
AGAGUUUGAUCCUGGCUCAGGAUGAACGCUGGCGGCGUGCUUAACACAUGCAAGUCGAGCGAAGCACUUGCCAUUGACUCUUCGGAGGAUUUGGCAUUUGACUGAGCGGCGGACGGGUGAGUAACGCGUGGGUAACCUGCCUCAUACAGGGGAAUAACAGUUAGAAAUGGCUGCUAAUGCCGCAUAAGCGCACAGGGCCGCAUGGUCCGGUGUGAAAAACUCCGGUGGUAUGAGAUGGACCCGCGUCUGAUUAGGUAGUUGGCGGGGUAAUGGCCCACCAAGCCGACGAUCAGUAGCCGACCUGAGAGGGUGACCGGCCACAUUGGGACUGAGACACGGCCCAGACUCCUACGGGAGGCAGCAGUGGGGAAUAUUGCACAAUGGAGGAAACUCUGAUGCAGCGACGCCGCGUGAAGGAAGAAGUAUCUCGGUAUGUAAACUUCUAUCAGCAGGGAAGAAAAUGACGGUACCUGACUAAGAAGCCCCGGCUAACUACGUGCCAGCAGCCGCGGU